RNAcentral lists this ribosomal RNA (1161 nucleotides) under Mycobacterium avium subsp. hominissuis 10-5606. RNAcentral's name for it is "bacterial LSU rRNA". It matches the Rfam family "Bacterial large subunit ribosomal RNA", at positions 1122 to 2158 of the family's 2925-position model. The record is from RNAcentral. Lineage: Bacteria; Bacillati; Actinomycetota; Actinomycetes; Mycobacteriales; Mycobacteriaceae.
UUGAAAGAGUGCGUAAUAGCUCACUGGUCAAGUGAUUAUGCGCCGAUAAUGUAGCGGGGCUCAAGCACACCGCCGAAGCCGCGGCACAUUCAUCUUUACGGUGGAUGUGGGUAGGGGAGCGUCCCCCAUUCAGCGAAGCCUCCGGGUGACCGGUGGUGGAGGGUGGGGGAGUGAGAAUGCAGGCAUGAGUAGCGAUAAGGCAAGUGAGAACCUUGCCCGCCGUAAGACCAAGGGUUCCUGGGCCAGGCCAGUCCGCCCAGGGUGAGUCGGGACCUAAGGCGAGGCCGACAGGCGUAGUCGAUGGACAACGGGUUGAUAUUCCCGUACCCGUGUAUGGGCGUCCCUGAUGAAUCAGCGGUACUAACCACCCAAAACCGGAUCGACCAUUCCCCUUCGGGGGCAUGGCGAUUCGGGGCUGCGUGGGACCUUCGCUGGUAGUAGUCAAGCAAUGGGGUGACGCAGGAAGGCAGCCGUACCAGUCAGUGGUAAUACUGGGGCAAGCCCGUAGGGAGAGCGAUAGGCAAAUCCGUCGCUCACUAAUCCUGAGAGGUGAUGCAUAGCCGGUUGAGGCGAAUUCGGUGAUCCUCUGCUGCCAAGAAAAGCCUCUAGCGAGCACAUACACGGCCCGUACCCCAAACCAACACAGGUGGUCAGGUAGAGAAUACCAAGGCGUACGAGAUAACUAUGGUUAAGGAACUCGGCAAAAUGCCCCCGUAACUUCGGGAGAAGGGGGGCCGGAAUACCGUGAACACCCUUGCGGUGGGAGCGGGAUUCGGCCGCAGAAACCAGUGGGUAGCGACUGUUUACUAAAAACACAGGUCCGUGCGAAGUCGCAAGACGAUGUAUACGGACUGACGCCUGCCCGGUGCUGGAAGGUUAAGAGGACCCGUUAACCCGUAAGGGUGAAGCGGAGAAUUUAAGCCCCAGUAAACGGCGGUGGUAACUAUAACCAUCCUAAGGUAGCGAAAUUCCUUGUCGGGUAAGUUCCGACCUGCACGAAUGGCGUAACGACUUCCCAACUGUCUCAACCAUAGACUCGGCGAAAUUGCACUACGAGUAAAGAUGCUCGUUACGCGCGGCAGGACGAAAAGACCCCGGGACCUUCACUACAACUUGGUAUUGGUGUUCGGUACGGUUUGUGUAGGAUAGGUGGGAGACUUU